Molecule: long non-coding RNA, 1255 nt
Organism: Oncorhynchus masou masou (cherry salmon)
Lineage: Eukaryota; Metazoa; Chordata; Actinopteri; Salmoniformes; Salmonidae
Exons: 3
Source: RefSeq, a predicted model, not a curated record
GUAGGUAGUCUAGUGGUUAGUGUGUAGGGGCGGCAGGGUAGCCUAGUGGUUAGAGUGUAGAGGCGGUAGGUAGCCUAGUGGUUAGAGUGUAGGGGCGGUAGGGUAGUCUAGUGGUUAGAGUGUAGGGGCGGUAGCCUAGUGGUUAGAGCGUAGGGGCGGUAGGUGGCCUAGUGGUUAGAGUGUAGGGGCGGUAGGUAGCCGAGUGGUUAGAGUGUAGGGGCGGUAGGGUUGUCUAGUGGUUAGAGUGUAGGGGCGGUAGGUAGCCUAGUGGUUAGAGUGUAGGGGCGGUAGGGUAGUCUAGUGGUUAGAGUGUAGGGGCGGUAGCCUAGUGGUUAGAGUGUAGGGGCGGUAAGGUAGUCUAGUGGUUAGAGUGUAGGGGGGGCAGGUAGCCUAGUGGUUAGAGUGUAGGGGCGGUAGGUGGCCUAGUGGUUAGAGUGUAGGGGCGGUAGGUAGUCUAGUGGUUAGAGUGUAGGGGCGGCAGGUAGUCUAGUGGUUAGAGUGUAGGGGCGGUAGGGUAGUCUAGUGGUUAGAGUGUAGGGGCGGCAGGUAGUCUAGUGGUUAGAGUGUAGGGGCGGCAGGGUAGCCUAGUGGUUAGAGUGUAGGGGCGGUAGGUAGCCUAGUGGUUAGAGUGUAGGGGCGGUAGGUAGCCUAGUGGUUAGAGUGUAGGGGCGGUAGGGUAGUCUAGUGGUUAGAGUGUAGGGGCGGCAGGUAGUCUAGUGGUUAGAGUGUAGGGGCGGCAGGGUAGCCUAGUGGUUAGAGUGUAGGGGCGGUAGGUAGCCUAGUGGUUAGAGUGUAGGGGCGGUAGGUAGCCUAGUGGUUAGAGUGUAGGGGCGGUAGGGUAGUCUAGUGGUUAGAGUGUAGGGGCGGCAGGUAGUCUAGUGGUUAGAGUGUAGGGGCGGUAGCCUAGUGGUUAGAGUGUAGGGGCGGUAGGGUAGUCUAGUGGUUAGAGUGUAGGGGCGGCAGGUAGUCUAGUGGUUAGAGUGUAGGGGCGGUAGGGUAGUCUAGUGGUUAGAGUGUAGGGGCGGCAGGUAGUCUAGUGGUUAGAGUGUAGGGGCGGCAGGGUAGCCUAGUGGUUAGAGUGUAGAGGCGGUAGGUAGCCUAGUGGUUAGAGUGUAGGGGCGGUAGGGUAGUCUAGUGGUUAGAGUGUAGGGGCGGCAGGUAGUCUAGUGGUUAGAGUGUAGGGGCGGUAGGGUAGUCUAGUGGUUAGAGUGUAGGGGCGGCAGGUAGUCUAGUGGUUAGAGUGUAGGGGCGGUAG